Molecule: long non-coding RNA, 364 nt
Filed under: Fragaria vesca (wild strawberry)
Lineage: Eukaryota; Viridiplantae; Streptophyta; Magnoliopsida; Rosales; Rosaceae
Description: long non-coding RNA (FVES_LNC001968)
Source: RNAcentral
CUCAUGACAUUGCAAUCUUCUCAGCUAAAUUAGGGUUUUUCACUUUUUCUGUUGGAUUGAUCUGUGAAUGUUUGUUUAUUAUUGGGUUGAUUAGUUGUUUAAUUAACGAAAAGGAUAUUGAGCAGCUCGCUCUACGAUCAAGUUCAGAAAGUGUCGACCCUAUCUGUUUAUAAUAUGGCCAAGUAUCCUUGUUUUAUAAUCAUCAUAUAGUUUCUUAUCAAUCAUCAUUACAUGUAACUGAUGUAAGGAAAAUUCUAAAUGGAUAUGCAUCGAUCACUCUCAUUAAUUUGUUUAGUGAGGAGCCCUUGUCCUAAGAACCAUAGAUGCAUUUGAACUAAGAUAGGUAUUUUUGCAAUAUUUAGUG